CGGGUUAGUAACACGUGGAUAAUCUGCCUUUGGGUGGGGGACAACUUGUCGAAAGACGGGCUAAUACCCCGUAAGACCACAGGAUCUUCGGGUCCAGGGGUAAAAGAUGGCCUCUAUUUAUAAGCUAUCACCUGAAGAUGAGUCCGCGUCCCAUUAGCUUGUUGGUAGGGUAACGGCCUACCAAGGCUGAGAUGGGUAGCUGGUCUGAGAGGACGACCAGCAACACUGGAACUGAGACACGGUCCAG
Molecule: ribosomal RNA, 247 nt
Filed under: uncultured bacterium
Lineage: Bacteria
Description: partial 16S ribosomal RNA
Rfam family: Bacterial small subunit ribosomal RNA
Source: RNAcentral